This 730-nucleotide ribosomal RNA is filed under the name bacterium SCSIO13144. RNAcentral's name for it is "bacterial SSU rRNA". It matches the Rfam family "Bacterial small subunit ribosomal RNA", at positions 82 to 826 of the family's 1533-position model. The record is from RNAcentral.
GCUGGGUGGAUUAGUGGCGAACGGGUGAGUAACACGUGAGUAACCUGCCCUUGACUCUGGGAUAAGCCUGGGAAACUGGGUCUAAUACCGGAUAGGAACGUCCACCGCAUGGUGGGUGUUGGAAAGAUUUAUCGGUCAUGGAUGGACUCGCGGCCUAUCAGCUUGUUGGUGAGGUAAUGGCUCACCAAGGCGACGACGGGUAGCCGGCCUGAGAGGGUGACCGGCCACACUGGGACUGAGACACGGCCCAGACUCCUACGGGAGGCAGCAGUGGGGAAUAUUGCACAAUGGGCGAAAGCCUGAUGCAGCGACGCCGCGUGAGGGAUGACGGCCUUCGGGUUGUAAACCUCUUUCAGUAGGGAAGAAGCGAAAGUGACGGUACCUGCAGAAGAAGCACCGGCUAACUACGUGCCAGCAGCCGCGGUAAUACGUAGGGUGCGAGCGUUAUCCGGAAUUAUUGGGCGUAAAGAGCUCGUAGGCGGUUUGUCGCGUCUGUCGUGAAAGUCCGGGGCUUAACCCCGGAUCUGCGGUGGGUACGGGCAGACUAGAGUGCAGUAGGGGAGACUGGAAUUCCUGGUGUAGCGGUGGAAUGCGCAGAUAUCAGGAGGAACACCGAUGGCGAAGGCAGGUCUCUGGGCUGUAACUGACGCUGAGGAGCGAAAGCAUGGGGAGCGAACAGGAUUAGAUACCCUGGUAGUCCAUGCCGUAAACGUUGGGCACUAGGUGUGGG